AUGCCGUUUGACAGCCCCGCCGCAGCCCGUGGCCGCGCCGCAUGGCGGGGACGUGGCGGGGGCUGCGCGCCCGGCUCAGCUCCGCGGGGCCGGGGAAACCCUGGCGUGGCCACAGCCCUUGGCCACCAGCACCCUGCCCUCGAUCACCCGCUCCUGCCAAGCUCAAUCGUGGUCACCAGUUUUGGCUCCUGGGUCAGCCUCUGUCCUCCCUGUGUCCCCCCCAACCCUGUCCAGCAGCGGGGCAGCACCGCUGGAUUCAUCGUUAGUGCGUUUUUCCCACCCAGCACCCAACAGCACAGAGGUUUGCUGCCAACGCUCCCGGGCUCCUUGCUGCUGGAUGCAACGUGGGGGCGAUGCUGGCAGGAGGCUCGGGUGGCAGCACCCAUACAAUCCCCGUUGCUCCUGCCCAGGGGUCCCAAAGCACCCCGAGAGCCAGCUCUCCGCGCUCUUCUUCAUCCCUGCAGCCCCCAGCCCCGUGCCCGCAGCAGGCGCUGCUCGGCGGCACCCAUGGGAGCUCCCCAGGCCAGCAGCCGGGGCUACCCGCGGCGCCAACCCCAACCACGUUUCUUGCGAGAUCGGCUUUUUUUUUUUUUUACAACUUUUUGCGUGAGACGCGAAGGCGCCCAGCCCCUGCGCCGACACAAUGGGGUUAUGGCGAGCGGGGCCCGGGCGGGGAGCAGCCCCCGGCAGCCCGGGGAGGGCAGCGCGUUGUGGGUAACGAUAUGCAAAUCGCCAUGCAGCACCGCCACCCGUGAUUGCUUUCCCCCCCGCCACAGGGAACCGCUUCCAGCUCUCCCCGCAACGCCUGCGGGGAAACCCGUGCCCGAGGCCGGGGCGAUGCGCGCAGCCGACGUCGUCCCCGCGUGCUCGAGGUCCCAGUUUGGGGCUGGCCAAGGGCCUCCAUCGCUGGGGAGCCUCCCAGGCUGGUGCAGCCUCGCCCUCCGGAGGCUCACUCAUCUUGAUUUAAAGAUAUUUCCCUUUCCUUUUUUCAAAUGUAAAUGGCAGCCAGAGAAACGCGCGGCGGCGAUUAGACACAGGAGAGUGGAGGUAACCUCGUCCGGGCUCGCCCGCGCUCCCACAGGAGACAACUGCUCUGUUACCUGGGGCAACGGUGGAAAAAUUAUGGCUGGCAUCUAA
Molecule: long non-coding RNA, 1137 nt
Filed under: Anser cygnoides (Swan goose)
Lineage: Eukaryota; Metazoa; Chordata; Aves; Anseriformes; Anatidae
Description: lncRNA (ENSACDG00005012284.1)
Source: RNAcentral